GUAGGUGAACCUGCGGAAGGAUCAUUAAAAGAGUUAGGCCCCCCCUGUGGGGCCGAUCCUCCAACCCUCUGUCGUCCAAACCAAGUUGCUUCGGCGGAAGAGAGCCGCCCGGGUCUUCACCGGCCGGGGCGGCCUCCGCCGCCGGAGGCCAAACAAACUCUUGUGUGAACAUAUGCAUCCGAGUAAACAAUCAAUGAAACAAAAACUUUCAACAACGGAUCUCUUGGUUCUG
This 232-nucleotide unclassified non-coding RNA is filed under the name rhizosphere metagenome. RNAcentral's name for it is "partial ribosomal RNA internal transcribed spacer region". The record is from RNAcentral.